AGAUACGUUAUUCUUUAAGCUCCUUUUCCUUAUCUAAAAACUCUGCUAAAUUCUCCGUUCGAGCACUCCAUUCUUGUUGAGGCAGAGAACUGACUUGAGCGUCGGAGGGUCUUGCCGGAGCAACCCCACCUCCGGUUUAGACUUCCCUUGCAGGUCCCGGCGGCGACUGCGGCUUCCCCGACUCCAGCUUCUCCGACGCAAGCGGAUUUUUGCACCAACA
RNAcentral lists this long non-coding RNA (220 nucleotides) under Elaeis guineensis (African oil palm). Its description in RNAcentral is "long non-coding RNA (EGUI_LNC047909)". The record is from RNAcentral. Lineage: Eukaryota; Viridiplantae; Streptophyta; Magnoliopsida; Arecales; Arecaceae.